Molecule: long non-coding RNA, 8990 nt
Filed under: Spirodela polyrhiza (greater duckweed)
Lineage: Eukaryota; Viridiplantae; Streptophyta; Magnoliopsida; Alismatales; Araceae
Description: long non-coding RNA (SPOL_LNC000739)
Source: RNAcentral
CCUCUUAUUGAGAUGGUUCUUGAUCUUCUUUUGAUGACGUACGUGAAUUACAUUGUGUCUGUGAGCAAUCCUUCCGAUUUCUAUUUUUUGCUCUAUGUCUAAAGGCAUAGAGACCUCAGUACGUGACAUCUCUACCACCAUGAUGGAUUCCAACCUUGUACCAUCAAGAUUGAUAAUAGAACUUUCUGUCAUUCCUACAAAAUUUAAGUUAACUAGUUAUAACCUCAUCUAAUGGUUGGUAUACAUUAGGGAAGUUCUGAUUGGCCAAGGGAUGCUACAUCAUUUAGAGGAUACAACCACCAGAUCCCAUGUCAAGAUAAUUCAAGAAAUGUUGAGAGGAGGAUGCUUUGAUAAAGAGAUAGAUCUGGGGAACCAGGAUUCCCCAGAUUAGUAGAGAUGUUUUAUUCAUGAGAACUGUGAAAGAUCCAUGGGGAACAGUACAUAUGAAAUACUCAAUGAAAAACAAUGAGGCACGUGUAUAUGAAAUAGAGACAAAGUUUCAAUCUGUUGUUCAAUGAUCCAAAUCGGUGCUGGAGUAUGCGGGGAAAUUAAAGAACUUGUGGCAGGAGCAUAAUUACUACCUUGUUCUUGAAACUAAAAAACCCAAAGAAAUUACUCUCUUGCAUAAUUUCUAGAACGAAGGCAUAUAUUUAAAUUUCCUGCUGGAUUAAGUCCUAUUUUUUAUCAUAUUAGAAAAAUAUUCUAGGACGUGAAAGGAGACCAGUUCUUAAUAAGGUGAUCUCAAUUGUCUUACAUGAAGAGAGUCAUCAAAAAUUGAUGGGAUCUGCUCAAGAUCUAGGUAAUACAGCGUUUAUGGUAAAACCUAGACACAUGAUCAAAUCAGUAGCAGAUUCGGUUCACCAAUCAUCUUCUAUGCAAGGGAAAAACCAGAAAAAUGAUUACACAGAAAAUCUUCGAUGUAACUAUUGCAAGAAACCCUACCAUACUAGAGAUCGUUGUUAUAAGCUUCAUAGUAACCCAUGAAGUUCAGACAAUUGCAUGAGUCAAGCGCACAUGGUAACUAAUUCAUCAUCUAUUAGAGCUCUGAUCAAAUGAACCCAAGAAAUGCCGAUUCAGCUCCAUCAAAAGAUGUGGAGGGACUUUGCUGUGAAUUAGAACAAUUAAAGGCAAUGGUAACACAACAAUCACAGCCAUCAAUGAGUCAUCAAAUUGGUGAGUUCCAUUAUUCCCUUGGUGUCCAAGCUCCGUCCCAACACAUUACUGGAUGUUGGUCUUGUCGAGAUGUGUCUAGUACACCUCACAUGUCCUUCCUUAUAUACCUAAGUGUCUUCCUUCAUAACUACAUCUGUGUGUCUCUAGAACCUUCUAGGGAGGCUCAUAUAAAUACCAGACAUCCUCUCCCUUUGUAUGAGUGAUUUUUUUGAUGAAUAAGAGAAUCAUUAUCUUUCCCUGUAUGUGUGUGGGUUACCAUACAGCAUACUGAGCUUGAUUCAAGUUUCUACAGUUGGAUAAUCGACUCGAGAGCAACAGACCAUAUGAAAAAAUCUUCAUACUAGUUCCUCCCCUACAACCCAUGUUCCAAUGACCGAAAAGUGUCCAAUGCUGACAGUACAUUUUUCACCGUCACUGGUAUUCAAGACCUUACUCUUGAACCUUUAAAAAUUCUCACCGAAAGUCCUCCAUGUUCCCAAACCUUUAACCAAUCUUAUCUCCAUCAAAAAACUUGUUAAGAACACACCUUAUCAUGCCUUUUUUAAUGAAGAUAUUUGUGUUAUCCUUGACAAGGUCUAGAGACAGAGGAUUGGAGUUGCUAGAGAAUGAGGGGGACUCUACAUCCUGAAGGGAUUUAGCCAAACCAAUCUUGUGAAAGCAGAUCCAUCUCUAGAGCAUCACAAGGACCUUUCUCACAUCCAGCUCCAUUAACGAUUAUGACAUCUUUCCUUUACCAUUAUGAAGAGUUCUUUCCCUUCUUUGUUUUAAAAAAUCUCCGUGAAAACACUUAAGUGUGAUGUAUGUGAACUAUCCAAACAUACUUGCAUGUUUUUUCGAACAAAAAAUGAAAUGAGCGAAAUUAUUUUCUUUCAUAUCCAUAGUGAUAUUUGGGGACCAUAAUUCAAUUUUGAUCUCUUAAGUAAUAAAUGGUUUGUCAUCUUUGUUGACAAUUGCACUCGCUACAUGUGGGUAUUCUUCCCUAAACAGAAAUCUAAAGUUUCAGUGACACUAAAACGUUUUUACACAACAAUCCAAACCAAAUUUGAUACAUUUAUAAAAAGAUUCAGAUCAAAUAAUGAUAAAAAAUACUUUAGCAAUGAUCUGAACUCUUCAUUACAAACUGAGGGUAUUAUUAAUUAGUCUUCAUGUGUUUGUACUCUUCAGCAAAAUGAUUUGGCAAAAAUGAAAAAUCAACACCUCUUGGAGAUUACAUGAUCACUCUUAUUUUAGUCAAAAGCACCUAAAUUUUUUGGGGUGAAACUAUCUUAACAACAACAUAUUUGAUAAACCGUCCUCCCACUAGAAUCUUAUAUUUUCAAAGUUCUAUAGAGAAGUUAGCUUCAUUUUUCCUACUAAUCAUCCUCAUACCUCACUAGAACCUCGCAUGUUUGAGUGUGUUUCAUUUAUUCAUAACCAUGAUCCAACUAAAGGUAAAUUAGAUCCUAGAUCUCUCAAAUGUGUGUUUUUUAGAUAUUCAGCCCCUCAAAAGGGUUAGCAUUGUUAUCAUUCAUCCACUUGAAGAUUAUUUCUAACUAUGGAUGUUACCUUUCAUGAAUAUGAGUGUUAUUUCAUAAAUCUUCUCUAAAUACACCUAUGCCGUUUCAACAUUUAAAUGAUCUCACUACAAGUGGAAUUUCUCCCCUUCUAGGUAAGAACAUUCUGCCAAUUCACAUGAGUGAUCAAAGUUCACCUCUUCCUAGUCUGCUUCUAGAGGAUCUCAAAUUUGGUUGUUUAUUCCAGGACACAAGUACCUCCAAAUUUUGAAUCAACUCAAGAACUUGAAUCUGACUUACCCAAUACCCAAGAAACCACAUCAUUUUCUUAUUGCCUUUAGAAAACCUCCAUGAACUUGUACAAAAUGCCCUUUAUACCCUUCAACAAACUUUAUUUCCUAUCACAAGACUUCUCCUAUUUAUAAAACCUUCCUUGAUACCUUGGAUGAUAUUACUAUUCCAACUAAUGUUUCAAAAAACUCUCUCCAAGGAAGAGUGGAAACAAGCUAUGGACGACUAAAUGUAUGCUCUUGAAAAAAAUAAUGCAUAGGAACUCGUACCUCUGCCUAAAGAUAAAAGGAUGGCUGGUUGUAAAUGAGUCAAUUCCAUAAAAUCUAAGGCUAAUAGAUCAAUACGUGCAGAUUUAUGGAAUUACCUAUCAUGAAACAUUUUUUCCUGUGGCAAAGAUGUGUGCAGUCAAAAUUAUUCUUUCUUUGGCAGCCAUUUUUAGUUGGGAUAUCCAAUAAUGUGAUGUGAAGAAUGUCUUUCUUGAAGGAGAUCUUACUAAUGAAGUGUAUAUGUAUUAUCCACAUGGUUAUGAAGGACAAUUAUCACCUAAUAUUGCUUGGAGACUCAAGAAGUCAUUGUAUGGAUUGAAACAGUCUCCACAUGCAUGGUUUGAGAGAUUUACUGCAGUCAUAUGAAAAUUUGAUUAGUAUCCUAGCAAUGUUGAUUAUACUUCAUUUUUUAAACAUACUUCAUUAAGGAGAGUUACUAUACUUAUUGUUUAUGUUGAUGAUAUCAUAAUUACAGGAAGUGAUGCCACUGAACAAAAUCAUUUGAGCAAAUACCUUGCCAAAGAGUUUGAUGUCAAGACUUUAGGUUGCCAUAAAUAUUGUCCAGGUAUCGAGGUGACCCAUUCUUCUAAGGACAUCUUCAUCUCUCAACAAAAGUAUGUAACAGAUCUUCUAAAAGGUAAUGGAAAGUCUGCACAUAAAUCAGCCAGUACCCCCUCUUGAUCUUAAUUACAAUUUUUCUCUUGAUGAAGGAGAUAAGUCUAUUGAUUAGGAAUCAACAUCUUAUUGGACGGUUGAUAUAUCUCACACAAGCUAGACCUGGCAUUUCUUAUGCAGUUAUUCUCCAGAGCCAAUCAUAUAUCAACCAAAUGAAUCUCAUCUUUAGGCUGCCGAUCAGAUGAUACACUACUUGAAAGGUACUCCUGGAAAAGGCAUUCUCUAUAAAUGUGGUGGUAUCAUAUUAGUUGAGAUGUAUAUAGAUGUCAACUAUGAUGGUUCUCCCUUAGAUCAUCAAUCAACUUCGGGUCUUCUGACAUUUGUAGGAGGCAAUUUAGUUAAUUGGCGCAACAAGAAAGAAAAUCUUAUUGUUCACUCAAGUGUUGAAGCAGAAUUCAGAACACUUGCAUAUGAGGUAUGUGAAUUACUUUGGGUGAAGAUUCUACUCACUAACUUCAAAAUUCCUGACAAGUCUUAUGAAGCUCUACUGUGACAAUAAAUUUGCAAUCAAUUUUAUGCACAAUCCGACCAAACAUGAUCGCCAAAAGCAUGUAGAGAUCAAUCGCGAUUUUUUCAAAUGAAAAAUUAAAGUCCAAAGCAAUUUGCAUCCCCUACAUCUCCACUCAACAUCAAUUGGCUGAUUUACGGACGAAUAGUGUCUCUGGCACUCAACUACAAGUGCUCUCCAAGUUGGGAAUGGAUGAUAUCCACUCACCAAAUUGAGGGGGAAUGUUGAAACACUCUGUGUGCGGCUGAUGAGGAGUAUAUUACGUGAUUCACUUAUGAAAACAAAUGAUUUCACAUGUUUGUCUUAGUGUGCUUGGGAGUGUAAGGUUCUCUGUUUAGAACAUUUCUUGUGGAUCUGUUAUAAAUAACAAAUCUACUGUCUUGAUCUAAAAAUGAUUGAGAAACAUGAUUUCCUUCCCUUGUAUUAUAUCGGAGUUCUAUUUUUCUCCCUUCCACGAGAAGGUUUCUUGUUCUUCUAGACAAAGAAUCUUGGAGGAAUUACAACAGGUAGAAACCCCAAAUAUUGUGAAAGUAAUUUCAACGUGCAUAGGACUCCACAAAGAAGAAAAUAAGCGUUCUACAAAAAACAUUACUGUUAAGUGAGGGUGCAAAUUUUACAAAACCCUUAACCAAAACCAAAAGGAUCUUCACAUAUCAUGAUACCUCAAGGAAAAUUAGGCUCAAUUUGAAAAAACAUUAAAAAAAAUGAAAAAGAUUCAUUCCAGACUAUCCAAUACAUGAACAUAAUUUCUACUAUAACUUUAUCCACAAUUAGACUUUUCCAAGGUGCCAUGUCUUAUUGCCAUGUCCUUACCUAAAUAAUGCAUAGCUGUAGUAAAUACGAAAUAAAUAUGAAUGUUAAAAAGUAACUUUGUCAGCCCGAAUAUGAUCUCUAAUUGACUAACUUCAACAAUCUAGUAAAAUUAGAUUUCAUAUUUAAGUGAAUUCAUCUUCAAUUUCCUUCUUCAACUUUGAUUUUUAUAUUCUUUAGUUGUAAAAUUAUUCAGUUCCAUCUCAUGCCCUCAAAAAGUUUAUGAAUAAACAAUACAAUUUCUGGGAGAAUGUGCCUAUGAUUUAUUUCAAUAUCACAUGAAAGCCAUUGGACACUUCAAAGAGCGAGGACUCUACCGUCCUCCCUAAUAAACUGUAUUGAAUAACUUACAGCCUACAUGUAAGUAAGUUACAAUGAUCCUUCAACAAGACUCGAACAAAUCCCAAAGCUAAAGUGCAGCAAACAUUAGGCAUGUAGAUUCACCGACAAUAGAAAUAUUGGAUCUUUUGUUCUUACAAGAAGAAAAGAGUUAGCUAAAUACAUAAACACGAGAAACACACAUAGAUGUCACUCAAUAUUUGCUAUCCCUUAGUAGAUUUAUUGUCCUUCUAUUUAAAGCAGUAAUGUAACAUAUUCAAGAGAAUAAAAGGGCAAUUGGUUGAAUAAUUCGAAGUAUGUUAGUGUCUAAAAUAUACAUAAAACCAGCAUACAUAGGCCUUGACAGUGAAUGGAAGAGAAAAAAAUAGUGCUCGGAACUAAGAGCUUAGUCAUGUACUCGAUAAAAAUAAUUAUUAAAUUAUUUAGGUAAGAAACACUCAUCCAAGUAACAUACUUUCUCAAGUGGAACUGAAGCUAUCAAAUCAUGUGCUUCUUUUGACUUCAAAAUAAUAUGAUCCACCAAUUUAUGAAUCUGAGAUGCAGAGAGGUUAAUGUGGACAUUAAAACCUGGGAGAUCUGCAUAAAUAAAGCCAAAGCAAGAUUUAAAUUUCUGAUAAAAGAACCAGAGACAAAAAAAUAUUGUCAAGGAUAUCCAGUAUUGAGGAAUUACAAUAUUAUUUGAUGGACAUUUAAAAACAAUAUAUGUCCUUUAAGAUAAUGAGAAAUGAUAAAAAUGAAAAGGUAAUUCACCGUCCUUCUACAGAGGAAAUGGUCAUCGAUAUAGUUUUUAUUUUAUGAUUAUGAAUUUCUAAAAAACUACAGAAAACCUCCAUUCCAACAUGUUUCAUUUACACAUUUUUUCACACAAGAAUCAUCUAAAUAUAUUAAGACAAGGGGUAAUUUUUUCUCAAGUCAUCCGUAUCCAACAAGUAAUGAUUAACUGUAGUGUCACCCAAUGGAAAUGACCUUUAAAUUGUUACUACUUUAUCAGAAAUAAACCGAAACAAUGUACCAAUCAUCAAAUGAAAUGUCUGUUUCAUCAUCUUCUGAUCGAAAUUUUCCAGUAACAUAAACUCUCAUGAUGCCCUCACAGCCAUUUAAAUUACCCAUUACGGCCUCACAGUAAAAUAAUGAAGAAUUUAGCAGUAAACACCAUCCACCAUCUUGAAAAUUCAUUCAUCUCAGCAUAUUUUUCAUUUACCAUCAUCAACACAAAUUCCAAUUUUCUCCCUCAUAUGCUCUGUGGAAUAGUAGCUGUUCAACCACUGCUGUAUGCAAGCUUUUCAAGAUGCCAAAGGCAGUCACACAACCUUACUUCCUAGCCAACACGCUUGGCAAAAAAAAUUAAAGUAUAGAAAAUUACGGCAACAUAUGAAUUAAAUGACCCAUAGAUAUAUCCAUAUUUUCAUACAUUUGCAAUAAGAUAUGUUCACAAUAAAUAUAACAUGAGAUUAAAUUACAAAUAAAAUAAAUAUACAUUGAUAAAUGAAAAAAAAUCAUUGAUAGAUAAAUAAUGUAUCACAAUGAAAUGAUUAGAUAUGGAGUGGAUAUGUAAGAUAUAAUACCGCAUCUAACAUCCAUAUAAUAUAUGCUUACUUGUCCACGCAAGUAAACAAGACCACAACUUGAGCGUUCUUUCAUAAGAACCUGCGCAACCUGACAUUAAUUUGUAUGCAUGAAGCCAGAUUACAUUCGUGCAAACACGAAUUUUCAGCCAUGAAGUGACCGUUCGAUUGGCAAGUAUUUUUGAAUCGUGAAUCGUAGAAAUCACACACAUAAAGGUUUAUUAUAAUGAGUGUCAAGAGAAAAUGUCAUAUUUCAUUCAUCAACUCAAAGCUUACUUGAACCAAAGUAGGCUGUCCAAUGGCAAUGAAUAGACAUUAUAGUUAACUUUUCCAUCCGAUUAUAUCUGAAAAAACACAUCCUAAAGCCUAACUCAUCCUCAGGAAAUGCAUCCAGCAAAUGGCACUAUCUCAAUAUCCAGAGCACUGAAACAUCAGUGUGGUUUUUCCCAUUUGUGAUGCUUAUCAGUCAAAUAUAUCCUCCCUGGCUACAUGAGGAAAUGUAUACUAUACCACAGCUCCACCAUGGCUUGCACAGGAAAAAGAGCAAAUCACUCAAAAGGAGGGAAGCUACAACUACACUUCCAUUAUAAAUUCAAAUGUGAUGCAAUAAAUAGCGCCAAGGCAUGAUCUUGAGGGAGGAUGACCUCGUGUUGAUCUCUCUCUUCUGAAAGUACUCCAUGGCAAUGAGUUGGUCGUAGAUAAUGUUUAGGAAAUGUUCACCUCUGUACGUAUUAUAUACAGGGCAUAUUUAAUAUCUUAUAGCACUCUCAAAGGCAGUGAGUGCAGAAAACUAGAGAAGACCAUUGCAUGGACUAUUAAGAGAAGCCUUGUCUUCCUCCAAUGGUUGCCAAUUUCCUGUAUCCUUAGUUGUCAUGACUUUCCUUCAUUUCGCAUAGCCUAUGUGAGGCAAUCAUGAACCUUUUCGAAAUGAGUAUACGAUGCAUUUUACUUUACAUCCAAAAUCAAUUUGAGUGCAACAAAAAACCCAGCUCAUUUUUAGGAAACACCUCCAAUGAGAUCACAACCCACGGGGAUGCCUUUGGAUUCAUGUUAACUGUGAAAUAUGGAGCAUAUUCGGAAAUGAUGUCCCUAGUGAUGUUCAAUAAAUUGACGGAAAAUCAAUCUUCCCAAAGAAAAGAAAAUAUCAGCAACUUUUCCGCCAUAAGAUAAAUCAGGAUUAAUUUCCAGGUUAAGCAGCUUGUGUUCUACUCCGUCAUGCUAAGCUGGCAUCUCAUUGAUUAGAGUAAUUUAUCAUGAUUUUGAUUCAUAUCGGAGUAUCUUUUUUUCCCGACUAAUCCAGCGGCAUUUUUUAUGGUGUAAAAGCUGGGCAUUUGGAUAGGGAUAGUAAACAUCGAACCGUCUGUUGCACACUUACUUUACGUCAAAUGCUUGCCUUUGCACACGUUAUUGAGCAUCGGAACACAUGAAAUUCACAAAAUAAACAAACUGGCACCGUUACAUCUAAAGUUAUGGAACGACUUCGACAAUAUUCUUCGGGAAAUAAAAAAUAAUAACGAUACGACGGAACACGAAGAUGCUACAAAAAUGGCGCAGUAGAGGCAUGGUUUCGAAAAGAAGACAAGCUCCCGGGAAAGGAAAAAAGGACACCUGUGGCCUUCUUCCUUUUGCUUUUGUUGCUGCAGCUCCUGUUUCGAUGGGCAUUGAGGGCGGAGAUGAUGAAGUUCAGGCCGACAACGACAAGCGCCGCGACGCCCGUAUAUGCGACCACCCGCCUCCCUCUCCUCCCUCUCUCCGUCCUCGCUUCGUCCAUCAGCGAAGCAGUAUGAGCACCGGUGUCGGAGAGGAGGGAAGGGAUGGGGAUUCGAUUUGAAAGAAUGGCCACCACCAGCCGUUGAAGCCAAGAAAGGGG